Molecule: non-coding RNA, 73 nt
Organism: Potamilus streckersoni
Lineage: Eukaryota; Metazoa; Mollusca; Bivalvia; Unionida; Unionidae
Source: the annotation of a GenBank genome assembly
AGCCAUGUAGCUCAGUUGGUAGAAUAUCAGACUCUUAAUCAAGUGAUCAUGGGUUCAAUACCUGUCCAGGCCA